UACAGAGGUCUCAAGCGUUGUUCGGAUUCAUUGGGCGUAAAGGGUGCGUAGGUGGCCAACUAAGUCAGACGUGAAAUCCCUCGGCUUAACCGGGGAACUGCGUCUGAUACUGGAUGGCUUGAGAUUGGGAGAGGGAUGCGGAAUUCCAGGUGUAGCGGUGAAAUGCGUAGAUAUCUGGAGGAACACCGGUGGCGAAGGCGGCAUCCUGGACCAACACUGACGCUGAGGAGCGAAAGCCAGGGGAGCAAACGGG
RNAcentral lists this ribosomal RNA (253 nucleotides) under uncultured bacterium. RNAcentral describes it as "partial 16S ribosomal RNA". It matches the Rfam family "Bacterial small subunit ribosomal RNA", at positions 524 to 776 of the family's 1533-position model. The record is from RNAcentral.